This 252-nucleotide ribosomal RNA is filed under the name uncultured bacterium. Its description in RNAcentral is "partial 16S ribosomal RNA". It matches the Rfam family "Bacterial small subunit ribosomal RNA", at positions 524 to 776 of the family's 1533-position model. The record is from RNAcentral.
GACGUAGGGGCGAGCGUUGGUCCGGAUUAUUGGCGUAAAGCGCGCGUAGGCGGCCCGUUAAGUCGGAUGUGAAAACCCGUGGCUCAACCACGGGCCUGCAUCCGAUACUGGCGGCUCGAGGCAGGCAGGGGAGAUCGGAAGUUCCGUGGUGUAGCGGUGAAUGACGCAGAUAUCAGGAGGAACACCGGUGGCGAAGGCGGAUCUCUGGGCCUGUCCUGACGCUCAGGCGCGAAAGCUAGGGGAGCAAACAGG